UUUAGCCCUGAUUGAAGUGGCAUCCUUUUUUUCUGUUAGUUCGAGUGAAUUUUGAAGAAUGAAAAAUCAGUACCUGCCUGGCGGCAGACAGGUUGAGAACAGAAGUGAAAAAGAUACAACGAAAAGCAGGAAAUAG
Molecule: small RNA, 136 nt
Filed under: uncultured Polaribacter sp.
Lineage: Bacteria; Pseudomonadati; Bacteroidota; Flavobacteriia; Flavobacteriales; Flavobacteriaceae
Description: Flavo-1 RNA
Rfam family: Flavo-1 RNA
Source: RNAcentral